This 771-nucleotide ribosomal RNA is filed under the name Triticum aestivum (bread wheat). Its description in RNAcentral is "partial small subunit ribosomal RNA". Lineage: Eukaryota; Viridiplantae; Streptophyta; Magnoliopsida; Poales; Poaceae. The record is from RNAcentral.
AUGGAUGCAGUGCAGGCUUGCUACCGAGGUUUGGUCCUGCUGGCCACUGCGGUUGGUGAUGGCGAGGAGGCUGUGACGCCGGCUGCGCAGCUGGCCGCCAUCGAGGAGCGAUGCGGCAUGCUGCUGGCGGAGGUGAGCAUCGAGGUUGCGUGCCCCUCACAUGACUUGUGGUUGCUUUUCUCAACGGAGGAGAAGUGCACGGUGGUGCUCCAAUCAUUGAUGAAGCUCAAGUGCUGCCGCCGGUGGAUUAAGUUUGAGCGGUGGGUGAGAGAGAUCCGGGGCAGUCCGGGUGCCCUGGAGUACAAGUCGAAGUUAAGUUUCGAAGGCCUUCCCGACCAAGCAUGGUCGAGGCGUUCAGUCAAAGGUCUACUGAAGGACUUGGGCGGCGAGCUGAUUGUGAUUAUACCGCCGAAGAACCGGCGUGAGCUUGAGGUAAUGGCGUGGCUCCGUGACCCAUCGAAAGUUGGCCAUGUGGUUGACAUGGAGAUACCCGAGCCAAAGCUUGCGCUGUGCAUGGAUCUGCCUCCACAGUCUCUAGAAGAGCUUGUUGCGUGUGAAAGCACGUGUGAGUACGGACCAUCGUCGCUGAGGAAGAAGAAGACAAUUGUCUAUCCAGUGAUCUGUCACAUGAAGGAGGUUACUGAUCGUGGUCCUCUGCUCGCUGAAGACCUGCCAGAUGAAUGGCUGCCUAACGAAGGGGAGGAUCUGACCCGCAAGCACGAAUUCACCACAGUGCUUGGCAAAGUGGACGGCAUUAUCUAUGAUUAUUGA